RNAcentral lists this long non-coding RNA (541 nucleotides) under Nicotiana benthamiana. Its description in RNAcentral is "long non-coding RNA (NBEN_LNC017903)". Lineage: Eukaryota; Viridiplantae; Streptophyta; Magnoliopsida; Solanales; Solanaceae. The record is from RNAcentral.
AUCAAUGAAGUGUUCAGUGGUUGUGGCAUCAGAAUUUAGGUUCCAAUCAUUAUCAAACAUGGCUCCAAAUAGCGAAUUCCGACCAGCAUUCGCCAAAGUUGUAGUUGUCGUUUCAAAAAUUCUACCACCAACAUUAAAUUUCACCCUAUCUUUUUGAAUUCCCAUUAUUCAAAUUUCAGUAUCUGAUACUAGCCAGCAUUCGCCAAAGUUGUAGCUGUAGUUUCAAAAAUUCUACCACCAACAUUGAAUUUCAGCCUGUCCUUUUGAAUUCCCAUCACUAAAAAUUCAGUAUCUGAUACUAUGAGUCAAGAAAAAACAGGGGACUUGAAAUUCAAAGUUGAAUUGAGAAAACCACCUAACUUGGAAAAUAUUUAAACAGAGAAAAUAAGGAUACAGAAGCAAUAACUUCAAGAAUUAAAGUAGGUAGUAAUCAAAACGGAAUUUUUAUGAACAAAACAAUUAAUUAUACUGAAAAUUUUGAAUUCAAGACUCAAUUUUGCUUUUGAUCUUUUUCUUCUCUCUCUUUUUUGAGGUCUUCCUA